This is a long non-coding RNA of Solea senegalensis (Senegalese sole), 554 nucleotides long. RefSeq lists it as uncharacterized. Lineage: Eukaryota; Metazoa; Chordata; Actinopteri; Pleuronectiformes; Soleidae. The transcript has 3 exons. The record is from RefSeq and is a predicted model, not a curated record.
GACGGCAGCCCGCUCCUCAUUCUGCCAAAGAGUGUGCAGCUCUGCGGGAUGAAGCCAGCAUAAGGGUGAACAGCUUUGGCCUGACCUUCUUCUUGACGAGGGACAUGACGCCGAUUCGAGUGAGGACCGGCUGGCGACACAAACCCUCCCUCGGGACGCCGUCCGCGAACGUCUCAGCACCGUCGGCCACAGGCUCACACAAGUGACGCAUAAAGAGCGACACACUUGCCCCUGAGGUCUCUCACCAGCCACUGAGAGGAGAAAGCGUCCUGAGACGGCAUCCCCCAGCGCAUCACUGCGUUCAGGAAAGCCUUUCGCUGGCGUGUGUUAAAACCCAGCACCUAUGGUUGGAAAUGACUGUAUAUUAUGGAUAGCCUUGAAAUUUUAAAAUAACUAAAAAUAAUACCAAGGAGAGAAAGUAUACUAAGCAAAUAUCCAUGUAUUUCUUAAAUUUCACCAGAGCUUUUCUCAAUAGUCCUGACUGCCUAAUAAUAGCAAAAUAAACAUGUGUGGGUCAUUAUAAUCAUGUCCACCACCACUAUCUGGAUGAUGAA